Molecule: ribosomal RNA, 1882 nt
Filed under: Marinicella pacifica
Lineage: Bacteria; Pseudomonadati; Pseudomonadota; Gammaproteobacteria; Lysobacterales; Marinicellaceae
Description: 23S ribosomal RNA
Rfam family: Bacterial large subunit ribosomal RNA
Source: RNAcentral
UCAAGUGAAUAAGCGUAUGUGGUGGAUGCCUUGGCGGUAGGAGGCGAUGAAGGACGUGUAAGUCUGCGAUAAGCUGUGGUUAGCUGACACAAAAGCGUAUAACCCACAGAUUUCCGAAUGGGGCAACCCGAUCUUAAAAGAUCACUUUAUAGCUGUAAGGUUAUAAAGAGCGAACCCGGAGAACUGAAAUAUCUAAGUACCCGGAGGAAAAGAAAUCAACCGAGAUUCCGCAAGUAGCGACGAGCGAACGCGGACUAGCCCAAAAGUCUCAUAGUUUUUAACAGAAUGGUGUGGAAAAGCCAGCCGAAGAAGGUGAUAGCCCUGUAUGUGAAAGAGAUUAUGAGAUGAAUGUGAGUAGGGCGGGGCACGAGAAACCCUGUCUGAAUAUAGGUGGACCAUCAUCUAAGGCUAAAUACUCCCUACCGACCGAUAGUGAACCAGUACCGUGAGGGAAAGGCGAAAAGAACCCCUGUGAGGGGAGUGAAAUAGACCCUGAAACCGCAUACGUACAAGCAGUCAGAGUCCCUCACCUAGAAUUUUUUAUAAAAAUGUGAGUCACAUUUUCAAAAGAAAUUCUAGGUGAGGGAUGAUGGCGUACCUUUUGUAUAAUGGGUCAGCGACUUAAUUUCAGUAGCAAGCUUAAGCGAAUAGUGUAGGCGAAGGGAAACCGAGUCUUAAUAGGGCGCAUAGUUGCUGGAAUUAGACCCGAACCCGGGCGAUCUAUCCAUGGCCAGGUUGAAGGUCGGGUAAAACCGACUGGAGGACCGAACCCACGUAUGUUGAAAAAUGCGGGGAUGAGCUGUGGAUUGGAGUGAAAGGCUAAACAAGCCCGGAGAUAGCUGGUUCUCCCCGAAAACUAUUUAGGUAGUGCCUUAUGUAUCACUCACGGGGGUAGAGCACUGUUAUGGCUAGGGGGUCACACCGACCUACCGUCCCAUGGCAAACUCCGAAUACCGUGAAGUGCAAUCAUAGGAGACAGACUACGGGUGCUAACGUCCGUAGUCGAGAGGGCAACAACCCAGACCGCCAGCUAAGGUCCCAAAAUCACCACUAAGUGGGAAACGAAGUGGGAAGGCAUAGACAGCUAGGAGGUUGGCUUAGAAGCAGCCACCCUUUAAAGAAAGCGUAAUAGCUCACUAGUCGAGUCGGCCCGCGCGGAAGAUUUACCGGGGCUAAGUGGUGUACCGAAGCUGCGGAUGCAUGUUUACAUGCAUGGUAGGGGAGCGUUCUGUAAGCCUGUGAAGGUGUGUUGAGAAGCAUGCUGGAGGUAUCAGAAGUGCGAAUGCUGACAUGAGUAACGAUAAAGGGGGUGAAAAACCCCCUCGCCGAAAGUCCAAGGUUUCCUCGUGCAACGUUAAUCGGCACAGGGUGAGUCGGCCCCUAAGGCGAGGCAGAAAUGCGUAGUCGAUGGGAAACAGGUUAACAUUCCUGUACUUUAAUAUGCUGCGAUGGAGUGACGGAGAAGGCUAGGUCAUCCGGGUGUUGGUUAUCCCGGUCCAAGCGUUUAGGCAGUGUUCUUAGGAAAAUCCGGGAACAUAAUGCUGAGGCGUGAUGGGGAGUUCAUUAAGAACGAAGUGAUUGAUGCCCUGCUUCCAGGAAAACCUUCUAAGCAUAGGUAUAUUAAAACCGUACUGUAAACCAACACAGGUGGACGAGAUGAGAAUUCUAAGGCGCUUGAGAGAACUCGGGUGAAGGAACUAGGCAAAAUGGUACCGUAACUUCGGGAGAAGGUACGCCUCCGACGGUUCACGCUGUUGGAGGCCGCAGAGACCAGGUGGCUGCGACUGUUUAUCAAAAACACAGCACUGUGCAAACACGAAAGUGGACGUAUACGGUGUGACGCCUGCCCGGUGCCGGAAGGUUAAUUGAUGGGGUUAUCCCU